This is a long non-coding RNA of Mauremys mutica (yellowpond turtle), 3310 nucleotides long. RefSeq lists it as uncharacterized. The record is from RefSeq and is a predicted model, not a curated record. The transcript is spliced from 3 exons. NCBI's taxonomy places the organism in Eukaryota, Metazoa, Chordata, Testudines, Geoemydidae.
GGAAGAAUAGGUAGAAGAGGCAGGAUGUCUUGGGGCAGAACGUGGCACCAAUGGAAGUUGGUGUAGUGCUUCCUGGAGACCACCUAGUGUUAGUGCCUGAGGAAACAUUUGUCUGAGUAGUGGUACGCCUGACAGGCUACUUAAGUUGUCGCAUGACAGCUCUCCAGUAAUCUGCAGGGAGCAACAGUUACAGUAUGUCUGGCAGUUGAUACCACUCUGUUUAUGCUCAGUGCUUACUGAGGUAAAAUUCAAAACUCCCACUGGUCCAAAUCCUGUGGUCCUUACUACUGGCCAGAUCUCUUCCCCCCAGAUCUGUGUGUGGAGAUGACCCUUGGCAAGUGAGAUCUCCCUGUUUUCCAGGUAGAAGGGGGUGUCCAACCCCUCUUCAUAUAUCUUGUCCGAGAUCUGCAGGCAUGGAGAGAACAUGGUUGAGGGGGAUGUAGGUUGUUUGCUUACCAUCCCUGUGGGAAAAUUUUCCCAAGAGAGUUAAUGCAGCUGAGCUACCUUGACAAGAUGGAAAUGUUGGGAACCUGGAGUCUGCCAAUUAGUUAAAGUAAUAAAUCAGGGCUCUUAUGCAAAUAAGAUCUAUUGGUUGUUGAGUGCUGCUGGAAAAUACCAACCAGGCAUACAUUUCUAAGUCUUUUAGUUACUAAAUAUGAGUUUCUCCUCCUUGAUUUAAGACUAAGAUAAAUACCCAUGAAUUUUUAAAAAUGACUUUUGUGAAGCCCUGGAGACUGAUCCUUUAUUUAGCCACUGAACAGAUACAACACUGCAAGAUUCUUCAUACUGCCCUGCCCAUGCACUUCAACCCUGAGUGGAGACACCAUUUCUAAGGCUUUUAAAUGAGUUCCCUCAGCAAGCAGGGCAUGAUGGAAGGGAAAGAAUCCUUAUGACGACAGCCUCUAAACACCAGCACUCUCUUCCUGGCGUGGAGGAUGAGGGUCACCAAAGGAGAAAGUUUUAAGUUAUGUUGCAGACCUUGAAUCCACUCUGGUAACCCUCGCCACUGGCUUCAGGGAGACUACGGAUUUGACUCUGCACCCACUGAAGUCCAUGAACGCAGGAUUAAGCUAUAUUUCAUAUGAGUGAGAGUUGCAGGAUCUGGUCCCAUGUUUUCAGGGAGCAAGGAGUCCCACAGGUCAGGAGAACGAUAUAAAAUAAACUGAAAAGUGCCUGCCAAAAUUGAUUGUGACAUUUUAGUAACCUAGUAUUCUUUGUACAUAGAUCUAUUCCACUUUCAAACAGAAGUGUCAUUAUAUGAUGAAAAUAGUAGCUCAUAUUCUGAACUAAGGAGGCUGCACCAGUUCCAUUUACAUGAGACUAUUUUUACCUUAUAGGAAGUGGCUGCAACUCAAAAAAAUCCUGACUGCUUGCCCUCUUGGAAUUAAGUUAUAGGCAAACCAAUACCCGUCCCCGCCCCCAAAAAAACUGUAUAACAAUUGAUCUAGCUAGCUAACUCAUCAGUGUUAAGAGUCUUUAUUAAAAGUAGAAAUCAGUACACCCCAGACUGUCUACCCCAAUGUUUACCAAACUUUGGGGUGUGCCACCAUAGGGGGUGUGGUGGGGCCUGGGCCAGCCCUCUCGAAGCAAAAGUUUAGGCACUACUGGUCAACCGUAAUUUACUUAAAAUAUUAAUUAAAAGCUUUAAUCUAACCAGUUUCCUCAGCGAUGCUAUGUUUCCAUGGAUUAAUAAGAAGUAUUUACAGAGUGCUUUUUAUUCAUAGUUCUCAAAGCAUUUUAAAAAGGUGGGUAAGAGGGGCAGAGAGGUUAGUUGACUUCACCAAGGUCAUAUAGCCACUUAAGGGCAGAAUUACCAUCUCCUAGGUCCCAGUCCGAUGCUCAAUCCACUGGAGCAUACUGCUUCUACUGCUGUAAUUCAGAAGUUCACCUACUCAGGAUUUUCAUAUUCUCUCACUCACUUACAGUCAGUGUUCAUAUAUACUGAGUGAGGCAUCAUUAGCUAAUGACUGAAGAAAGAUAGGAUAACUCAUGAACGUGUUUAGUCUCAUGAAUUUGUCUUAAUAAGGCAUCAAAUCAGUCACAUAAUUAUUUAUAAAACAGGCUGCUUGCUCUGAUGUUUUAUUUGUUUAAUGCUGGGGUUUUAUUUCAUGCCUUUCACACGUGCAGGCAAAUACGGCUUAUGGUUUGUUUUUCUGUUAACCAAAGUAGUUAAUAUAUACCUUGUAAGUAUUCCAUUCCUGUAGAGUCUACCUGAUGGAUAGUGACAAUAUGCUGAUGUGGAUCAAAAAAAAGUGAGGAACAAUCUAACCACGAGUAAGUGCUAUAUAGUUCAAAAGUAGAGAUCCCUGCUUCUAGCUGUAAAGUCACAACUAGGCUGUAGGAAUGACCUAAGCUUGUUUUAGGAAUUAGAGCUAUAAUUUUCUUGCUCACCAAGCAGAUUCCUCUUAGGCUAUCACACCCUGGCCUUCCACAGAACAUGAAGCCACUUGCCCUUUAUGUCCAUAAGUGGAAGUUGGCCCGCGUCAGUUGGGCUGAAUUGAACAUGUUCUGGGAAAACAAUGACAUCCACAAAGAGAGAGAGGGGGAUAAAUUUGAAGUAAAGCCCCCUAAGACUCUGCCAACAGGAGUUUUCUUGCCAAAGAUCAUAAGAAUGACAACGUGCUCUACCAAGCUACUUCUGUUCAUUACGUGAUUUUCCCUAAGAAGCAGGUGGCCAGUCUGUUUUCUGUGCUCCAAAUACUGGCUGUGUCCCAUGAACUCAGAGCACAAGUGACGGUAUGAAUCUCACGAAGCAGCAACAUGCUGCCACUCAUGAAAGGAAAGCAAAUAGCGAACAAGUGACCAGUCAGUCAUUCACGUCACAGGACAUUGCUGCUCUCUGAAUUUUCAUCUUGAUUUAAUUGUGCAUAGGGUUGUCCUCUGGUAUCACUUCCUAAAAUAGCAUUUCAUCCACACAGAUUAUUUUUCUGCACUGUAAAAACACUUGUUAUGCCACACCUAUUUACUGAUAAGAUUUCCCUAGCACCAGUUGCAAAAAAAAGCCUCUCUUUAGACAUCUCUCGGGCUUGUAGCCCCUUUUAUUUUUAUAUUUUCUUUGGAAGCAGAAUCAGGAGGUGUAAUUUGGGGUAAAAACGGCAAGAAUGUAGUACUGAUGCCACAGAAGAGGAGUGAAGAUGGGGUUCAUAACAUAGAAGAAUGGUACUGUUAGUCCAUCAAAACUAAUUUCCGAUAGGUAUCUAUGUUUGUAAGAAACAUAGGAAUGUCAGGAACAGUCUAGGUAUACUCGGUCCUGCCUCAGUGUGAGGCGAUAGACUAAUUAUUCUCACAAGAUCCCUUCCAGCCCAAACUU